AGAGAUGUAGCCAAGCGGUAAGGCAAAGGACUUUGACUCCUUUAUUCGUUGGUUCAAAUCCAACCAUCUCUG
Molecule: transfer RNA, 72 nt
Filed under: Clostridium sp. CAG:678
Lineage: Bacteria; Bacillati; Bacillota; Clostridia; Eubacteriales; Clostridiaceae
Rfam family: tRNA
About the family: Transfer RNA (tRNA) molecules are approximately 80 nucleotides in length. Their secondary structure includes four short double-helical elements and three loops (D, anti-codon, and T loops). Further hydrogen bonds mediate the characteristic L-shaped molecular structure. tRNAs have two regions of fundamental functional importance: the anti-codon, which is responsible for specific mRNA codon recognition, and the 3' end, to which the tRNAs corresponding amino acid is attached (by aminoacyl-tRNA synthetases). tRNAs cope with the degeneracy of the genetic code in two manners: having more than one tRNA (with a specific anti-codon) for a particular amino acid; and 'wobble' base-pairing, i.e. permitting non-standard base-pairing at the 3rd anti-codon position.
Source: Rfam by way of RNAcentral